CCUUGGGAGUUAAUUUAAGGUCGAACCUGCCCACUGAAAAGAAAAGAAUUAAAGGGCCGCGGUAUUUUGACCGUGCAAAGGUAGCAUAAUCAAUAGUCUUUUAAUUGAAGGCUGGAAUGAAUGGUUUGACGAAAUAAAAACUGUCUUAGUUUAAUUAAUUAAAAUUUUAUUUUUAAGUUAAAAAGCUUAAAUUUUUAAAGGGGACGAGAAGACCCUAUAGAUUUUUAUAAUUAAUAAAAAUGAGGUAUUAGAAUAAUUUUUUUUUAUUAAUUAUUUGAUUGGGGUGAUAUGAGAAUAGAAAAACUUCUUUUGAUUUAAACAAAGAUUAUUGAAUUUAUGAUCCUUAAUAAAGAUUAAAAGAUUAAAAUACCUUAGGGAUAACAGCGUAAUUUUAUUUGAGAGUUCUAAUCGAUAAUAGAGAUUGCGACCUCGAUGUUGGAUUAAGAAUAUAAUUUGGUGCAGUAGUUAAAUUAAUAAGUCUGUUC
RNAcentral lists this ribosomal RNA (485 nucleotides) under Trigonidium sp. Van. RNAcentral describes it as "partial 16S ribosomal RNA". It matches the Rfam family "Archaeal large subunit ribosomal RNA", at positions 1923 to 2651 of the family's 2987-position model. Lineage: Eukaryota; Metazoa; Arthropoda; Insecta; Orthoptera; Trigonidiidae. The record is from RNAcentral.